GACGAACGCUGGCGGCGUGCUUAACACAUGCAAGUCGAACGGAAAGGCCCUGCUUUUGUGGGGUGCUCGAGUGGCGAACGGGUGAGUAACACGUGAGUAACCUGCCCUUGACUUUGGGAUAACUUCAGGAAACUGGGGCUAAUACCGGAUAGGAGCUCCUGCUGCAUGGUGGGGGUUGGAAAGUUUCGGCGGUUGGGGAUGGACUCGCGGCUUAUCAGCUUGUUGGUGGGGUAGUGGCUUACCAAGGCUUUGACGGGUAGCCGGCCUGAGAGGGUGACCGGCCACAUUGGGACUGUGAUACGGCCCAGACUCCUACGGGAGGCAGCCGUGGGGAAUAUUGCACAAUGGGCGGAAGCCUGAUGCAGCAACGCCGCGUGCGGGAUGACGGCCUUCGGGUUGUAAACCGCUUUCGCCUGUGACGAAGCGUGAGUGACGGUAAUGGGUAAAGAAGCACCGGCUAACUACGUG
Molecule: ribosomal RNA, 468 nt
Filed under: uncultured bacterium
Lineage: Bacteria
Description: partial 16S ribosomal RNA
Rfam family: Bacterial small subunit ribosomal RNA
Source: RNAcentral